AGCUAAUACCGGAUAAUAUAUUGAACCGCAUGGUUCAAUGGUGAAAGACGGUUUUGCUGUCACUUAUAGAUGGAUCCGCGCCGCAUUAGCUAGUUGGUAAGGUAACGGCUUACCAAGGCAACGAUGCGUAGCCGACCUGAGAGGGUGAUCGGCCACACUGGAACUGAGACACGGUCCAG
This 179-nucleotide ribosomal RNA is filed under the name uncultured Staphylococcus sp. RNAcentral describes it as "partial 16S ribosomal RNA". It matches the Rfam family "Bacterial small subunit ribosomal RNA", at positions 161 to 334 of the family's 1533-position model. Lineage: Bacteria; Bacillati; Bacillota; Bacilli; Caryophanales; Staphylococcaceae. The record is from RNAcentral.